AGCUUUGCCCAUCCCCCUGCUCUGGCCCCGAAGUGGCCUUCCCUCCAACUGGAGCUGAGUCUCCCUGGAGUUGAUGCCAGCGGAACCCAAACGGCCUCCUUCCCAGAUGAGCAGCGAGAGGCGGCAGCGCCCCGCAGGCCCGCAGCCCAGCCAACAAGAGCGAGCCUGCUAGCUUUGUUUCCUCUGCCUGUUGCUCCCAGAUUUGUUGUUCUUUUGAACUCCGGAUCAGAAAAGAAAAUAGCUGGAGAGAUAGACACCUGGAGCCGAGGCCAGGCUGGGAGGGGCAAGGAAGGGAUUCAAGAGUUUCCAGAAGCUUGGGCCUCCCUCCAGGGACAUUCUUAGGAAGGCAGAGGGGUGUAAUUAAGCUAAGGAUCUCAAGGUGAGAUCAUCCUGGAAUUAGGCUGAGUCCUAAACUCAACGCCUGGUGUCCUUAGAGGAGAGAAGAGAGGAGGAUUUGAGACACGUGGAUACAGAGAAGAAGGCACGUGAAGACAAAGGAGGGGACAAGUUAGACAGCCACCGUGGAGCGCCCAGGAAGGCCACCACCACCAGAAGCCAGGAGAGAGGCAUGGGACAGCUUCUUCCUCAGAGGCUGCAGAAGGAACCAACCUCACUGACACCUUGAUCUUGGACUUCCGGCCUCCAGACUGUGAGGGAGUAAAUUUCUGCUGUUGUAAGCCACGACCUUUGUGGUUGGUUGUUACAGCGGCUCAGGAAACUGACACAUCUUCCCGAUUGGAGACUGAGCCUCUGAGACCCUUUUACAGAUGAGCAGCUAGAAACAGAGGAGCUGGGUGGCUGCCAAGGUCCUGCUGCUAAUUAGCGUCAGCACUGGGGGUUGGAUCUGGGUCUCCCACCUCACAGGCCCUUUCCCUGUCCUCUGUCUCACUCAGACCAGGGGGAGCUGCCCCCCUCCACCCCGUUUCUCCUACCACCUCAUGGCUCCCAAGUGGCCCAACACGCGCACUGUGCAAAGUGAAGAGCGAGCCCCAAGGGGAGAAGCCCAGGCAAUGCCCUGGUGGAGGGGCUGGGGCUGGGGAUCC
RNAcentral lists this long non-coding RNA (1043 nucleotides) under Equus asinus (donkey). RNAcentral describes it as "lncRNA (ENSEASG00005024275.1)". Lineage: Eukaryota; Metazoa; Chordata; Mammalia; Perissodactyla; Equidae. The record is from RNAcentral.